GAGUCGAACCUGAAAGUACAGAGAGCCCUCGUGGUGAUUUGAUAUGAACGUAAACAGACUUCCAAGAAAAUCUGCUAAACAUAUUUUUAGGGUACCCGUACCACAAACGGACACACGUGGUCAAGUAUAGAGUACUAAGGCGCUCGAGUGAUUCACGGUUAAGGAACUAGGCAAAUUAGACCCGUAACUUCGGGAGAAGGGUCCCCUACUCAGCAAUGAGAGGGCGCAGAGAAAUGGUCCAGGCGACUGUUUAACAAAAACACAGGGCUAUGCAAAAUCGAAAGAUGAAGUAUAUGGCCUGACACCUGCCCGGUGCUGGAAGGUUAAGAGGAGAUGUCAUCGUAAGAGAAGCAUUGAAUUGAAGCCCCAGUAAACGGCGGCCGUAACAAUAACGGUCCUAAGGUAGCGAAAUUCCUUGUCGGGUAAGUUCCGACCUGCACGAAUGGUGUAACGAUCUGGACACUGUCUCAACCGUGAGCUCGGUGAAAUUGUAGUAUCGGUGAAGAUGCCGAUUACCCGCAACGGGACGGAAAGACCCCGUGAACCUUUACUGCAGCUUUGCAUUGUGUUUGGGUAAGUAAUGUGUAGGAUAGGCCGGAGGCUAUGAAGUGGGCACGCUAGUGUUUGUGGAGCCGACGUUGAAAUACGGCCCUUUGCUUAUUUGAAUACUAAUUCCCUUCAAGGGAAGACACUGCAUGGUGGGUAGUUUGACUGGGGUGGUCGCCUCCAAAAGAGUAACGGAGGCUUCUAAAGGUACCCUCAGGCCGAUUGGUAACCGGUCGUAGAGUGUAAUGGCAUAAGGGUGCUUGACUGAGAGACAUACAAGUCGAACAGGUAGGAAACUAGAGCAUAGUGAUCCGGUGGUUCCGCAUGGAAGGGCCAUCGCUCAAAGGAUAAAAGGUACUCCGGGGAUAACAGGCUGAUCGCUCCCAAGAGCUCAUAUCGACGGAGCGGUUUGGCACCUCGAUGUCGGCUCGUCACAUCCUGGGGCUGGAGAAGGUCCCAAGGGUUGGGCUGUUCGCCCAUUAAAGUGGCACGCGAGCUGGGUUCAGAACGUCGUGAGACAGUUCGGUCCCUAUCUGUUGUGGGCGCAGGAAAUUUGAGAGGGUCUGACACUAGUACGAGAGGACCGUGUUGGACGAACCGCUGGUUUAUCGGUUGUUCCGUCAGGGGCAUUGCCGAGUAGCUAAGUUCGGAAAGGAUAAGUGCUGAAAGCAUCUAAGCACGAAGCCAUCCUCAAGAUUAGAUUUCCAUGAGGGUCG
Molecule: ribosomal RNA, 1262 nt
Filed under: metagenome
Description: bacterial LSU rRNA
Rfam family: Bacterial large subunit ribosomal RNA
Source: RNAcentral